UCGAGAAUCUUCGGCAAUGGACGAAAGUCUGACCGAGCAAUGCCGCGUGCGGGAUGAAGGCCCUCGGGUUGUAAACCGCAAAAGUGAGGAGGAAGGGCCCGUGAAGAGCGGGUCUUGACCGAUCCACAGUAAGGACGGGCUAAGUUCGUGCCAGCAGCCGCGGUAACACGAACCGUCCAAACGUUAUUCGGAAUUAUUGGGCUUAAAGGGUGCGUAGGCGGCGCAUUAAGUCGGGUGUGAAAUCCCUCGGCUCAACCGAGGAACUGCGCCCGAUACUGAUGUGCUUGAGGGAGACAGGGGUGAGCGGAACUGAUGGUGGAGCGGUGAAAUGCGUUGAUAUCAUCAGGAACACCGGUGGCGAAAGCGGCUCACUGGGUCUCUUCUGACGCUGAGGCACGAAAGCUAGGGUAGCGAACGGGAUUAGAUACCCCCGUAGUCC
This 439-nucleotide ribosomal RNA is filed under the name uncultured prokaryote. RNAcentral describes it as "bacterial SSU rRNA". It matches the Rfam family "Bacterial small subunit ribosomal RNA", at positions 355 to 796 of the family's 1533-position model. The record is from RNAcentral.